This 264-nucleotide long non-coding RNA is filed under the name Vigna radiata. Its description in RNAcentral is "long non-coding RNA (VRAD_LNC001882)". The record is from RNAcentral. Lineage: Eukaryota; Viridiplantae; Streptophyta; Magnoliopsida; Fabales; Fabaceae.
ACAAUCUUCACAAGAUUGAGAGAAGAAGUUGAUUACGUAUCAGACACCCUCAAGUGCAGGUUGAUUAAUCAGUCAAUGCGCACAGAUUCUUGCUCAUCAAGCAAUCACCAAAGAAUGAACACCUCGGUCUUUCUUGAUGGAUUCUUGGAGCUUUAGCACGUUCUACCAGAGAUCAAUAAUCUGAAAAGAUUAAAUCAAUACGUUAGAAUCACAAAAGUCUGCAGAAAUCAAAUUCGCGUCUAUGUAUAGUUUUUCAGAAAACUG